AUUCAGAGCCCCAGCCUGUUCAUAAAAAAAAUCAGAUGAAUUUUGUCUGCGGAACAUUCUGCAAAAAUAUCUGACCAUCCUAGCUACUCCGGAGGCUGAGGCAGGAGGAUCACCUGAGCCCAGGACUUUGAGGCCGCUGUAAGCUAUGAUCAUGCCACUGCACUCCAGCUCAGGCAACAGUGAGACCCGGUCUCAACAAACAAAAGAAAAUAAAAGAAUGGUAGACAAGGAAAGCAGUUGAACAGCUAUGCGAGAAGCCUACUUUCUCUUCAUGUAACACGUUGGCCUAAGAGAUCUAUAGAGCUUUUUAAAAACAAAGAAGGCAGCAAGAUUUAAAAUAAUAAAACCAGCAAUAGGUAUUUUUAAAAGUGAGAGAAACUAUCAGAGAGCUGUAGCAGAAAAGCAAGUUAAAAAUAAAGGAAACAGAAAAGGAACUGAUACAGCUGAUUUGAUACUGGAAAAAUCACCCAGGAGGCAGCGUGGACAAUGGAUUGGAGAAG
RNAcentral lists this long non-coding RNA (500 nucleotides) under Homo sapiens (human). Its description in RNAcentral is "non-protein coding lnc-GNAT3-1:17". The record is from RNAcentral. Lineage: Eukaryota; Metazoa; Chordata; Mammalia; Primates; Hominidae.